This is an RNA transcript of Daktulosphaira vitifoliae (grape phylloxera), 3259 nucleotides long. RefSeq lists it as uncharacterized. The record is from RefSeq and is a predicted model, not a curated record. The transcript is spliced from 18 exons. Lineage: Eukaryota; Metazoa; Arthropoda; Insecta; Hemiptera; Phylloxeridae.
ACAAUUUGAUUUGAAGUUAAAUUAAAAAUAAUUGGAAAAUAUGAUCCAAUAACUAUAGUAUUAAUUCUUUCUGCCUUUUUAAAAAUACUUUCUGUUAAAAUGGAAACUAAUCAUUCGUCAAUUAUUAGUUUAUCUUCUAAAUCAUUAGCAAACAUUUUUGAACUUAUAAAAAUGAUGACUGGAUUAGAGGUAAAAUUAGAUUUUCAAGAUGUUUACAAGAUGUAUAUUAAUAUACUUAAUACUCUGCAUGAUAAUCAUUAUGAAUAUCCUAAAAAAAAAGAUAUUGAUGUAUUGAUAAAUGGUAUUAUAGAAAAAUAUAUCACCCAUGGAUUUCCUUUAGAAGCUAAAGAAUUUCAAAUGCGUAUUUUUUGGUUUAUUGACCAUUCAGAUAUUAAUAACUACUCAAACGAAUCAACUUGUUCUGUCAAAUGGGCCAUAAUUAGUUUAAUUAUUCAAAUGGCGAAAAAUCCUUGUGGAUUUAGAAAUGCAUUACGUAAUACUAAUUUAGAUAGUGUACGGAUUCAACUUGAAGGUGAAUCAGCAAUUCUAGGAGAAACAUUUAAAUCUAAUAUUAUUAAAGAAUUAAUUAGUCUUAAUAAUAAUAAAGAUUAUGUUGAAUCAGAAGAAUCUGAUUAUGAAGACGAAAAUGAUUUUUUGUCUCCAAGUGUAGAUUUAUCUCGUAGUAUAUCAUUUAUAGAUAAUUUGAGUAUUAAUAAAAAUAAAUUAUUAGAAGAUAAUAGAAAUGAAUAUUUAAAGUUAUUGUAUAUAAAUGAAAAUAAGGCAGUUAAAAUAUUAAGAAACAUUGCAUCUGAAUCUGUGUGGUCAAAAAGUAAUUCAGGAAUCUUAGUACAAGGUGGUAAAUAUACUUCACACUUUGCUAUUAAACGUUUUUCUCCUAAUAUGACAUUUAAAAUAAUUUGUGAUAGCAAAGUCAUACUUGAUUGCUUGAACCACCAUUUAGUUCCAUCUAAUAUUUUUCAAUAUAAUUUGGCAGAACAAAAUCAAAAUUUUGGAUAUGUGAAUAUAUUAUCAACAGUUUCACCAGAAGUAUUUGAUUGUUGGCUAUCUACUAUUUUUCCAUAUAUUAAUAAACUAAGUGAGCUUAUUAAUUUUACACAUUUUAUAAAAUGUUCAGCUAAAGUUUCAAAUACACUAAGAGCUUAUUCAAAUGGCCUUGAAAAAAUUUUAACACCCAUUGUUGAAAAAAUUAGUUUUAUUGAAAACAAUAUCAAAAAUUCGACCUAUAUUAAUUAUACUCUUAUAUCGUUUGAAGAAGAAAUGCAUUUGCAUUUUCAAGUUAUUUUGUUUGUCUACAUUUUACACACAGAAGCAUUAGGUUUAAAUUGGAAAGAAAUUGAUAAUUGGAAAAUUUCAACUAGGAUAAUAUCGGUUUUAUUUUGGUCUAUUCAAACGUCUUUCAUAGAUUUUGAAAAAAUUGCUGUAAUGACUUUAUUUUUGUAUACAUUGGAACCAUACAUGCAUAUGACUGAACUGUGGAUUCAUGCUGGUCAGCUUGUUGAUGAACAUAAUGAGUUUUUAAUUUUAAAUUAUGAGGGUGACAGUUGCACUGAAUUUAAUUUAUACUUGAGAGAUGUAAAUGAUUAUCUUGUUAAUUGUGGUAUUGUUACACCUCCAAUUUUUAAUGUUUUAUUGAAUUUUUUAAAAAGUUGUGAUUGGAAAGUUUUUGUAGCUUCAGAAUUAAGUAACAAUGUUGAGACAUUUACUGAAGUCCCCCGAGGAGAAUUGUUUCAUAACUUUAUAACAGAAUUGAAAAAUAUAUUAAAUGAUUGGGAUGAUUAUAUAACUAUAUUUAAACCAUAUAACCCAUUAAACUGGAGUCAAAUACCAAUGCUUGCAACAUAUUGUAUUGACUAUAGAUUUUCCAGUAACUGUACAUCAAAUUUAACAAAACCAUCAAGUUUUGAAAUAGUUGAUAUUCUUGUGUUCAUUGUACAAAAAGCUUUGGACAGUAUUGGUAUAGUAGUAAGGAAUAUUAUACUUAAAAAAAAUAAAUGUAUCAAUCAUUUAAAAACACUAUACAACAUUAUUUUCUUGGAAGAAGUAACAAAAACUGUCACAAUUGAUAGAACUUUGGAAUAUAAAAUUGAACAAAAUUUAUUUUUAAACAAUUGUUUUUAUUCACUAAUUAGUGAAGAUCACAGCUCAAUGUUAUCUAUAAGUGACCAUUCUUGCAACUUAUCGUUAAAUUAUAAAAAUGAAAAACAUAGUUUGUUUAGAGAAGGUAUUAUAACAAGUGACAAUUUCGCUGAUGAAUUAGAACGCCUUACCAUUACUUAUGAUGUUAAGUUUCCUCUAAGUUUGAUUUUAACUAAUGGUGUUAUAAAUAGUUACAACAAAAUAUUUCGUUUGCUUAUCACAGUGAAACAAGCAGUAGAAAUGAUUUCUCAAUUACAAACUAAAGACUUAAAAAAAUAUAAUUAUUCAUUGGAUGUUAGACGUUUGUAUUUUAUAAGAUUAUGGAUUCUAUCUACUACUUAUAAAUUGCAAACUUAUUUCUUUAGUGUUGCUUCUAAAUAUUUGGGAUCAAAAUUAUUUGAUAAUUUUGAAAAAGUUAAGAAUGGUUUAGAAGGUUUUGAAAUGGUUCUAGAAACACACAUUUCAUUGGCUAUUAAAAUGUGCAUGUUAGAAGGUUUGAUGGAAAAAUUAUCUUUUCAAUCAUUAUCAUUAUUAUGGAAUGCAUGUGAACAAUUUACUAUUUUGUGGAAGAAAAGUUCAUCAGCAGAUUACAUUGAUACUGAAUUAAUGGAAAAAAUUGAACAAGAAUAUGUGGAUUCUUGCUGGAAACUAGCUAGCAGUUUAGAUACAUAUUUAGUUGCAGAAAAUGACUCAACAAGUCUUUUGUACCAGUUUUGUCAAGAUUUUAUGUCCAGUAUGCCGACAAAAGAGUCAGCUGAUCUAGAUGGCAGUAUGGUAUACAGGUUGAGUGACUCCCAAAACAGGCAGAUGGAAAUGUGCAACCGUGAAACAUCUAAUGAUAAAAAUAGUCAUAAAUAUAUUCGAGCAAUAAAUUGUAAACUACACAACAAAAUGACACAAAUUCAUUGAUUAUAUAUAAUUCGAUGGACAGAUAUUUGAAAAAAUGAAUACUGAAGUUUAUCGAGAAAUUAUCAUGUAAUUUCAUCAAACAGUGCUUAAAAAAUAUCAAUGAUGAAUUAAAUAGAAGAUAGUAUUCAUACAAUGUAGAUAUUUAAAAAAUAUUAAAUAUCUAAAAAAUCAUGACCAUAAUAAAGAAUAGAGU